RNAcentral lists this microRNA (23 nucleotides) under Salmo salar (Atlantic salmon). RNAcentral describes it as "ssa-miR-128-1-5p". Its record names the gene ssa-miR-128-1-5p. Lineage: Eukaryota; Metazoa; Chordata; Actinopteri; Salmoniformes; Salmonidae. The record is from miRBase by way of RNAcentral.
CGGGGCCGGGACGCUGUCUGAGA